GAGAGAGGCUUGCCCGCAACUGAGGUUGCUAACCUCCGUGACCCAGGUUGGAGUCCUGGGCUCUCCUCG
Molecule: transfer RNA, 69 nt
Filed under: Halichoeres hartzfeldii (Hartzfeld's wrasse)
Lineage: Eukaryota; Metazoa; Chordata; Actinopteri; Labriformes; Labridae
Description: tRNA-Ser
Source: RNAcentral